AAUAGAUGAUGCCGUUGAUUUUUUCUCACAUGUUUGACCAUUCGUCUUAUUCAAAAAAUUUACGUAAUUAUAAUUUAUUUGUUAUGAGUUGUUUUAUCACUCAUAGUACUUUAAGUGCGAUUUAUAUCUUAUACAUUUGCAUAAAUUUUUUGAAUAAGACGAAUGGUCAAACAUGUGAGAAAAAGUCAACGGCGUCAUCUAUU
RNAcentral lists this microRNA precursor (203 nucleotides) under Oryza barthii. RNAcentral's name for it is "MIR812 microRNA precursor family". It matches the Rfam family "MIR812 microRNA precursor family". The record is from Rfam by way of RNAcentral. Lineage: Eukaryota; Viridiplantae; Streptophyta; Magnoliopsida; Poales; Poaceae.